CAAAGAUAGGCCGCUGACUUGUAUUACUUGCUCUAGUCGGAGUUCAGCCUGUUUUUCAUGCGGCUACCAGUUCUUCUUCUUCUCCACUAAAAAAACAGUUCUUCUUCAUCCCCACUGGAAAAAAAAAAGUUCUUCAUCCUCUCAAAAAAAGAAAAAAGUUGUUCUUCAUGCUCAAGGAGGUCGGCCUCCGGCGUCUGGUCGACGGGUGCC
RNAcentral lists this long non-coding RNA (210 nucleotides) under Panicum hallii. Its description in RNAcentral is "long non-coding RNA (PHAL_LNC000365)". Lineage: Eukaryota; Viridiplantae; Streptophyta; Magnoliopsida; Poales; Poaceae. The record is from RNAcentral.